UACAGAGAGGGCAAGCGUUAUUCGGAAUUAUUGGGCGUAAAGGGCGCGUAGGCGGCUUGGCAAGUGGAAGGUGAAAUCCCUCGGCUUAACCGAGGAACUGCCCUCCAAACUGCUUCGCUUGAGACCGGGAGAGGUGAGUGGAAUUCCCAGUGUAGCGGUGAAAUGCGUAGAUAUUGGGAGGAACACCAGUGGCGAAGGCGGCUCACUGGACCGGUACUGACGCUGAUGCGCGAAAGCGUGGGGAGCAAACGGG
This 253-nucleotide ribosomal RNA is filed under the name uncultured bacterium. RNAcentral's name for it is "partial 16S ribosomal RNA". It matches the Rfam family "Bacterial small subunit ribosomal RNA", at positions 524 to 776 of the family's 1533-position model. The record is from RNAcentral.